CCCUACUUUCUUUUUAUAGACUCCCAGAAUAAAAGAAAAUUUAGCACCUACCAUGUGCCAAGCACUCACUUAUAGAUUAUCAUUACAUUAAAUAAUGCAUAUGAUGUGGUACAGCCUAUGACAUAUAGUAGGUGCUCAAUAAACGCUAGCUUUUAUUAUUGUUAUUGGUAUAUUAUUAUCAUGCCCAUUUUGGAGAUGAAAAGACUGAGGGUCAAAUAACUCCAUUACUCCCUGUUCCUAAAUUGCAAACUAGACCUCCACCCAUGCUUCCUGAGCCCUCACUUUCCACACAGUGACACGUGUGGCUUCUGCUCCUGACAGGUAGCUCAGUAAUUUCUCUGACCUGCUGGCCUUCCCGCCUCCUUCAGGGGGCUGGGCAGAACCAGGAGAUGCCUUACCCGGAUAAGGUUUUUCUCCACGUUGUCAUGGACCAAAUCAAUCCCAAUCCUCUUCUCUCGAUGGUACAGACACUCCAAGGCCACCUGUGGGAAGCAGCAGAAAGAACGUAUUCUUCCUGUAGCUGUAUGUAGACCCUGAGCAGAAGGGACUCACAUCCACCCUUGCCACAAUCUGUUCCUUUCUCCCGGAAACCUGGGUGCUUCAUGUGACCUCACUACUGGGCAUUGGAUGGGCUUCUGCCUCCCCUUCUCCCCGGAUGAGAGCUGUGGGUUGUCAUAUGACCAAGGCAUCCGGAGAUGCAAGGCCCAUGUAGAGAAAACAGGAUAAAGUAGCAUCCCAAGAACCAAUUUUGAUUCCCAUAAUUGCAUCAGCAGCCCCAAGCCUUCCCACAAUACAAUAAUACAUAGAAUAAAACUUCAUAAUAAUUUCAGAUAAGACAGUGUUGGCGGCCAUCUUCCAUGUAGCUUCUCUUCUGACUUCAAUCGGGGCUUGACCACUUCCUAUUGUGUGCAUUUGGGCAAACUGCUUAACCUCUCUGCUGGUUUCCUCCUCUGCAGAUGGGUGCCAUAUUGGUGCCUAUCUCACAGGUUCAUUGUGCAGGUGAAGUCGGCUUGACAAGUGUAAAUCACUGAGAACACUGCCCCUAAAUAUUACCUGUGAAUAUGCAUGAAAACCCCUCUUUGCAGAUCUCCCAGUGGAGGGACAGUUUGGGGAAGUGGUCAGGACAACCCUGCCACCUAGCCCUGGGCCUUACAACUCUCAUGCAGACCUGGGCAGAGCAGAAGAGAGGACAGGACAAGGGGCUUUUCAGGGGCGCUCUAUGAUGGGAAGCUGACAAACAGCAGUGAUUAGCAAACCAGCCCGUGAUGUCACAAAGGGCCCAGGAGCAGAAGGAAGCAGGAUGUCAAGGUCUGGAUGUCAGGAUGCAAAUGUAUGUGAGAACUCAGAAAUGGGAGGGGGUCACUGACCCGUGCCACAAGGAUUUCCGGAGCCCCUUCUGUGAGACAUGCUCUGCUGAGGUGCUGGGGAUAGCACAACGAACCAGGCUGAGAGUCCCUGCUCUCACACAGCCUGUGUUCUACUAGGGGAGAGAACACCCAUAAGAAACUCAGUCAGGCUGGGCACAGCGCCUCCUUCAUGCCUUUAAUCUCAACACUUUGGGAAGCCAAGGUGGGAGGAUUACUUAAGCUCAGCCUGGGCAGCAUAGUGAGACCCCAUCUCUACAAAAAAUUUUAAAUUAGCCAGCCAUGGUGGUGCAUGCCUAUAGUCCCAGCUCCUCAGGAGGCUGAGGUCGGAGGAUCUCUUAACUCCAGGAGGUCAACUAAUGAGCCAAAAUCAUGCCACUGCACUCCAGCCUGAGCAACAGACAAAGACCCUGUCUCAAACAACAUCAACAAACCAGGAACUCAAUCAUUUCCAACUGUGUGAAGGGCCAAGAGGAAAAUAUUCAGGGUGAGGGUCCAUGAGAGUGCUGGCUAAUAGGCUAAACAUGGAGACACACGACGGACCUUCUAGAAAAGACAUUCCCUGAUAAAAAGCAAUGGUGCCCAUUGAUGCUUCUGCUCUUUGUUCUACCCUUGCCUUCCUGCCUCGAAUGAGAAUAUCAAGAGGCCCCUGGCAUGCAGGAACUUGCAGUAUAAAAUGCAAAACCUCCUUGGGAACAGGAGAACACAAACCACAUGCUGUGGGUGGCAGAACAGAGAGAGGAGCCUGGGUCCCUUCUGGCACCAAGUUGAGGCUGGAGCCGCCUGAUCUGUCUCCCUCUGGAAUUUUCCUCAUGACAGAAAAAUAAAUUCCUGUUUGGCUAAACCAC
This 2212-nucleotide long non-coding RNA is filed under the name Homo sapiens (human). Its description in RNAcentral is "HSALNT0384501". The record is from RNAcentral. Lineage: Eukaryota; Metazoa; Chordata; Mammalia; Primates; Hominidae.